UGUUGAAAUAUGAGCCAUAAUUCACAAUAUGCUCAAGUUUUAAUUUGUAUUAAGAUAAACACUUCCACACCAUUGGGUUUAUGGUUCCUAAAAAUAAUAUUAUUUCUUUGUGUAUUGUUGUUACCCACAGAGUCCUCAAUACACUGUUGCAUCUCAUUAUCAUCUUCUUUGAUCUAAUAUGCUAUCCAUUCAGAAAAAGCAUAUAUUAUGUCUAGAUUCAAUUUGCGGAUUCAAGGGUGAUUAGAACCAGACUUGCCUGGGCUCUCAACAUGUAACCAUAGCAUGAGUAUAUUUUCUUCUUCUCCACUGGAUAGUAUAAAUUGGAUCAGUCCAAGCACCUGUUUUGUAGAGGCUAGAGAACUCAGUAACCAAUGCUCUUGCCACAUGAGAAAGCAUCAACAGAAGUUCAUGCUGAAUUGAAAUACAAGAAAUGUUAAAGCUAUCCUUGAUCGAGCUGAAAAAGAACUGCUGCUCUCCGUAUCUCCAUCCAACAUCAUAAGAGUAGUACAAUUUUCUCCUCGAGGAAAAAAAAACGAAGAAAAGAGACGAAACAGAAUUUGCACAGAAGACUAUGCAAUGGAAGAAAACGUUAACAGGGUAAAAUUUGCAGUCUGCUUCUGAAAGAUAUCACUACCACCCCGUUGUAGCCUCUCCUUUGGUAGGAGCAAGGUUUUAAAUUAUUGCAGUUGCAGUUUCGUUGCAUUUAUUGAGAGAAAUUACAUAAUAAUGUGGCUAUAAUUUCAGUCACAUACACUCCAAAAACAUUGAUGUUGCAGCUGAAAUCACAGUUGCAUACCGUUUUCAAAACCUUGGGUAGGAGCAUAUACGAAAAAGAAAACAUUACUUUGAUUGAUAUAUGCGAUCGGAGUGUUAAAGGAUGGUUCACACAUCAUAACGGGAUCAUAACUUGUCCCUAGCAAAUGAAACAGAGGCAUACAUUAUGAGUAAUUCUCAAAUACUUACUUUUGGUCCCAAAUUGCCCAGGCUUCCCGUAGAAGAGUGAAAAAUCAGAAUUGAAGGUAUGGUUAUGCCUCCCGAUAAUGACCCUUGUAUGCUACUAAUAACUCCUCUGCAUUUUCCCUGAACUGUGAUAUAUACUUGUCCAAAAACAUCUCCUCAGACAAGCACAACACAUGAAUAUAACUGGGGACUUUCUUGCAGAGAUUUUUUGAUUUCAACAGCUGGAAGACUUUAUAUCGAGGAAGCACGCGAUCCUCCAUGCUGUACAUUAAAAUCUGAGGCCGGUGAAUAAGGACUGACUUGGGCAGCACAACUGUAUGCAAGAAGAACUUCAUUCCAACUUUCAACUUCAUCUCUGAUGUUCUGAACAAAGUCGGGGUUCUCUUGAACAUUUGUAGGCCCUCAUCGUUGGAAAACCCAAAACUAUUAAUUAGUUUCAGCUUUCUCUCAAAUGUUUUAUUGCUCAAACAACUUAAUGUAUGAAUUGCAUGGACAAGCAUUCUUGAAUUUUCACGGAAGCCCAAGUCUACAGCUCGAGAAACAAGGUUUUCAAUAGUGGACUGCUGUGCAAUGAAAAUCCUUGGGUGAAGUUUGAGUAGCAAUGCAAAAUGAGUCCCAAGAAUGCCACACCUCUCCAAGAAGAAGACAUUGUCCAUAAACCUUUUGUACUUUGGGAGUAUCCAGCCACAUCUGUGCAACACAAGAAUAAAAUCUUUCUGGUCGCACACAAUUUUCCUAAUAGCUUCAACUGAGGGGACCAAUGUUUUCUUCAAGCUAUGAGUCAAAAUGGAGGGAUUCUUUGAAAUGAAGCUACAUAACUCGCGACCCUGGAAUCCAGACAUCUGAAAGAACUGAAUUUUGGAUCUUAAGAUUUUGUCAACGUCUGUAAAUAGUAUCUGGGGUCUUUGACGAAUCACGGAGAGAAUCUGGCUUUGCGAAAAGCCAAUUUGUUUGAAGAAAGUGAGGACUGAUAAGGGGUUUUGAGGGAAUUUGGCCUGUGAAACACGUUUGGAGAUAUAAAGGGAUUGGGUUUUGGAGAACUGGAAGUUGGAAUUUAGGUAAUCAAUUAUUGAACUGGUUUCGUUGAAGUGUAGGCAACGGCAUUUGGUUGAGAAAGAGAGGAAGGAUGUCAGAGACUGAGAAGAGAAUUGAUUGAAAAGAGAAAAUAAAAGAGCAGGGUGUGACUUUAGAGAUUGCAUUAGUUUAGUGAACAAGAAUGAAUGAAUGUUUUGUUUGUCGUCAACGAACAAACAAACUAUUUCUUAGGUUGUCUAUUUCGAAUUUCCAGAGACCAAAACGUUGUCCGUCUCCUAUAUUACCAAGUUUUCCAAGUUUAUGCGAGGAUGAGAGCCUUGUUUGAUUGAGAGGAGACGAAGGAACAAGCAACAAAACCCUAAGUUCAGCUCUGCACCCAAAUAACCGUCAGUCAUGGACGAGUAGGGCAUUUUGUUCUCUACGCUUGAAAUUUCAACUUACACCCCCUG
RNAcentral lists this small RNA (2444 nucleotides) under Vigna angularis var. angularis. Its description in RNAcentral is "Non-protein coding transcript". Lineage: Eukaryota; Viridiplantae; Streptophyta; Magnoliopsida; Fabales; Fabaceae. The record is from RNAcentral.